ACCGGGCAUGGUGGUGCAUGCCUGUAAUCCCAGCUACUCAGGAGGCUGAGGCAGGGGAAUCAUUUGAACCCUGGAGGUGGAGGUUGCAGUGAGCUAAGAUCAUGCCACUGCACUCCAGCCUGGGCAACAGAGUGAGACUCAGCCUCAU
This 148-nucleotide non-coding RNA is filed under the name Homo sapiens (human). The record is from Rfam by way of RNAcentral. Lineage: Eukaryota; Metazoa; Chordata; Mammalia; Primates; Hominidae.